GACGAACGCUGGCGGCGCGCCUAAUACAUGCAAGUUGAGCGCUGAAGGUUGGUACUUGUACCAACUGGAUGAGCAGCGAACGGGUGAGUAACGCGUGGGGAAUCUGCCUUUGAGCAGGGGACAACAUUUGGAAACGAAUGCUAAUACCGCAUAAAAACUUUAAACACAAGUUUUAAGUUUGAAAGAUGCAAUUGCAUCACUCAAAGAUGAUCCCGCGUUGUAUUAGCUAGUUGGUGAGGUAAAGGCUCACCAAGGCGAUGAUACAUAGCCGACCUGAGAGGGUGAUCGGCCACAUUGGGACUGAGACACGGCCCAAACUCCUACGGGAGGCAGCAGUAGGGAAUCUUCGGCAAUGGACGAAAGUCUGACCGAGCAACGCCGCGUGAGUGAAGAAGGUUUUCGGAUCGUAAAACUCUGUUGGUAGAGAAGAACGUUGGUGAGAGUGGAAAGCUCACCAAGUGACGGUAACUACCCAGAAAGGGACGGCUAACUACGUG
Molecule: ribosomal RNA, 497 nt
Filed under: uncultured bacterium
Lineage: Bacteria
Description: partial 16S ribosomal RNA
Rfam family: Bacterial small subunit ribosomal RNA
Source: RNAcentral